RNAcentral lists this ribosomal RNA (582 nucleotides) under uncultured bacterium. Its description in RNAcentral is "bacterial SSU rRNA". It matches the Rfam family "Bacterial small subunit ribosomal RNA", at positions 28 to 657 of the family's 1533-position model. The record is from RNAcentral.
AACGAACGCUGGCGGCAGGCUUAUCACAUGCAAGUCGAGCGCCCCGCAAGGGGAGCGGCAGACGGGUGAGUAACGCGUGGGAAUCUACCCAUCACUACGGAACAACUCCGGGAAACUGGAGCUAAUACCGUAUACGUCCUUCGGGAGAAAGAUUUAUCGGUGAUGGAUGAGCCCGCGUUGGAUUAGCUAGUUGGUGGGGUAAUGGCCUACCAAGGCGACGAUCCAUAGCUGGUCUGAGAGGAUGAUCAGCCACACUGGGACUGAGACACGGCCCACACUCCUACGGGAGGCAGCAGUGGGGAAUAUUGGACAAUGGGCGCAAGCCUGAUCCAGCCAUGCCGCGUGAGUGAUGAAGGCCCUAGGGUUGUAAAGCUCUUUCAACGGUGAAGAUAAUGACGGUAACCGUAGAAGAAGCCCCGGCUAACUUCGUGCCAGCAGCCGCGGUAAUACGAAGGGGGCUAGCGUUGUUCGUAUUUACUGGGCGUAAAGCGCACGUAGGCGGAUUGUUAAGUUAGGGGGUGAAAUCCCAGGGCUCAACCCUGGAACUGCCUUUAAUACUGGCAAUCUCGAGUCCGGAAGAGG